AGCUCCAAUAGCGUAUAUUUAAGUUGCUGCAGUUAAAAAGCUCGUAGUUGGAUUUCGGGCAGGCGCGAGCGGUCCUCCAUCGGUGUGCACUGCUCGCGGCUGCCUUGCUGUCGGGGACGAGCUGCUAGUCUUAACUGGCCGGCACUCGGAGCCGACGAGGUUACUUUGAGUAAAUUAGGGUGUUCAAAGCAGGCGGCUGCACAUGAAUUCGAUAGCAUGGGAUAACAUUAUACGACUCCGGUCCAUCCGUUGGUCUGUGGGCAUGCGGAGUAAUGAUUAAGAGGGACGGUCGGGGGCAUUCGUAUUUCGUUGUCAGAGGUGAAAUUCUUGGAUUUACGAAAGACGAACAUCUGCGAAAGCAUUUGCCAAGGAUGUUUUCU
This 380-nucleotide ribosomal RNA is filed under the name uncultured eukaryote. Its description in RNAcentral is "SSU rRNA". It matches the Rfam family "Eukaryotic small subunit ribosomal RNA", at positions 587 to 972 of the family's 1831-position model. The record is from RNAcentral.